UACGUAGGUGGCAAGCGUUAUCCGGAUUUACUGGGUGUAAAGGGCGUGUAGGCGGGGACGCAAGUCAGAUGUGAAAACCACGGGCUCAACCUGUGGCCUGCAUUUGAAACUGUGUUUCUUGAGUACUGGAGAGGCAGACGGAAUUCCUAGUGUAGCGGUGAAAUGCGUAGAUAUUAGGAGGAACACCAGUGGCGAAGGUGGUCUGCUGGACAGCAACUGACGCUGAGGCGCGAAAGCGUGGGGAGCAAACAGG
This 253-nucleotide ribosomal RNA is filed under the name uncultured bacterium. RNAcentral's name for it is "partial 16S ribosomal RNA". It matches the Rfam family "Bacterial small subunit ribosomal RNA", at positions 524 to 776 of the family's 1533-position model. The record is from RNAcentral.